UGGGCUGGAUGAGUGGCGAACGGGUGAGUAACACGUGAGUAACCUGCCCUCUUCUUUGGGAUAACGGUCGGAAACGGCUGCUAAUACCGGGUAUUCACUGUCCUUCGCAUGGGGGGUGGGUGGAAAGGUUUUUUCUGGUGGGGGAUGGGCUCGCGGCCUAUCAGCUUGUUGGUGGGGUGAUGGCUUACCAAGGCUUUGACGGGUAACCGGCCUGAGAGGGUGACCGGUCACAUUGGGACUGAGAUACGGCCCAG
RNAcentral lists this ribosomal RNA (254 nucleotides) under uncultured bacterium. RNAcentral describes it as "partial 16S ribosomal RNA". It matches the Rfam family "Bacterial small subunit ribosomal RNA", at positions 83 to 334 of the family's 1533-position model. The record is from RNAcentral.